RNAcentral lists this ribosomal RNA (482 nucleotides) under uncultured bacterium. RNAcentral's name for it is "partial 16S ribosomal RNA". It matches the Rfam family "Bacterial small subunit ribosomal RNA", at positions 28 to 507 of the family's 1533-position model. The record is from RNAcentral.
GACGAACGCUGGCGGCGUGCUUAACACAUGCAAGUCGAACGAUGAAGAAGAGAAACGCGAACUUCGGUUCAAAUUUCACUUCGGAUUAGUGGCAGACGGGUGAGUAACGCGUGAGCAACCUACCUCUUACAAAGGGAUAGCCUCGGGAAACCGUGAUUAAUACCAUAUGACACAUUCAUAAGGCAUCUUAAGAAUGUUAAAGCUACGGCGGUAAGAGAUGGGCUCGCGUCCCAUUAGCUAGUUGGUGAGGUAACGGCCCACCAAGGCGACGAUGGGUAACCGGCCUGAGAGGGUGAACGGUCACAUUGGAACUGAGACACGGUCCAAACUCCUACGGGAGGCAGCAGUGGGGAAUAUUGCACAAUGGAGGGAACUCUGAUGCAGCGACGCCGCAUGAGCGAUGAAGGAAUUCGUUUCGUAAAGCUCUGUUCUAUGGGAAGAAAAGGACUGUACCAUAGGAGAAAGCCCCGGCUAAAUACGUG